This 2226-nucleotide long non-coding RNA is filed under the name Triticum aestivum (bread wheat). Its description in RNAcentral is "long non-coding RNA (TAES_LNC014503)". The record is from RNAcentral. Lineage: Eukaryota; Viridiplantae; Streptophyta; Magnoliopsida; Poales; Poaceae.
GGGAGUAUUAGAUCUAGAAAAGUUUUUUUUUCUAAAGUAUGCCUUCGUUGUCAAGGAGAAGUUUAGUCUUGAUGUCACAUGAUAAUUAGGAGUACCCCUGGAGAUGCUUUGAUGCUUUGGUGUGCCCCUUUUCAUUGAUGUUGUUGGAUGAGUAAUCAUAUGAUAAUGAGGAGUACCCAUGAAGAUGCUUUGGUGCUUUGGUGUGCCCCUUUUGAUAGGCGUUAUUGGAUAAUAAGUAGGUGAUCUGUGAGAGAUAAAGGUGAUUUUUUGGAUUUUCCCUGUUUUGUUGGUACCUUGAUUUCCAGGGAAACAUUGGUCUAGCUAGGUUGUUUAUAAAGUCCUUUGGUUUUCACAUAUGCAAAUGGAAACAUCUCUAUCUCUAAUGUUGUCGAUUUUGAGGUACCAAAAGCUUGAGACAUUUGAUUUUGGGUUAAUCCUAGUUAUGAUGGUGCAUGCUUGAUGUGCAUAUAUGUGACCAUUUGCUCCUAUGUUCACUUUUGUUGAGUUGCAACCUGACCUUCUGAAUUUGUUUUACUUCAGAGAUGUGGUCCCGUCGUUGUUGGCUGUUGAAUUUGUGCUGCAGUCCAUGCCCACCACGUCCGUGUCUUCGCCCCUUUGUCAUCCAACACAAACAGCAGAACGGAGCAACAACCGCGGUUUGCGAGGUCAGAGAACUGCCGCAGCUUGCUGCCAUGUACAGCUCGCCCUUCUUCUAUGCCAAAAGCCCCUCGAUUGAAGCUCCAACUCAAUUGCAAAUCAAAAUUACCAACCCAGAUAAUCUCUCCGGAACAACGCCUAGCUCGCCGUGCUCCACUCACUGUAAGUACCUUGACCUCUGGUUAUUCUGAACCAUUUCUUUUUCUGUUUGGGCUGUAAUUUGUAAGUUUUCUUUCUUAGUAAAUAAUAAAUAAAGCUUUGCUGCUGAUGACUAUUUUCUUGGAUAAGAUUAUAUUAUUUAGAUUGUGAGCUCACCUAUUUGUGAUUUGUAUCUCAGCUAACAGCAUAUCUCAUAACCGAAGGCAUGAACAAGUGCUUCAGUAUUGCUGGUGGCAAUCCAUUGCUUGAGGUGACAUCGUGUGCAAGAUUAUCCCCAUGGAGGGCGCUGGCACGGUGACACCCUCCUCGACCUGUUGAUCCCAUGACUUAGGUAAGCUUACUCCCCUUUCCUCAUGGCUGAUUUCUAUUUUUUGUGUUGCUCUGUUCGAUUUGGUGGUUCCCCAUGUCCCAUUAGAUACCUUCCCAAUGGCUAGGGCCUCCAUGUUAUAUAUGGUGUUCACGGUGAGAUAAAGUUUGAGGUCGAUUUGAUCCGUAGUUAUUCUUUGCGACUAAGUUGACAUAUUGCUAUAUGUGAGCACACUUAUAGAUUUUGGUCCUCUGGAUAUGGUAUUUUUUUACUACGCUUUACAGAUAUGGCUUUUUUUGUAGACAUUAUUAUGCGAAAAAAUUGCUACGAGGGUACUAUCAGUAAUAGCUUUUGUUUUCUAUCUGUUCUCCACUGGCCAUUUUCUGUGCAGUUUGUUUUCUUUUAUAUUUGUGCUUGGUUACAAGUUUUUGUGUACUUGUUAUAGAUCUCUCUCUCUCUCUCUCUCUCUGACCAAUGAUCUUGGCUCGCAGGUCACCGAGGCAGACGAGGUUAUGGAUUACCUGAUGAGGUACUACUGAAUACUGAUGAUCUUACAUGUCUCUCUCUCUCUCUCUCAUGUCAAGUUCAAUUCCCUCUUAUUUUGCAGAAUGGAAUAUUUUGUUGCUUUUUGCAAUGCUAUAUUUGUUAUAUACUGUGUGAUGGAAGUAUAUGUUUUCCUGCCUUUGGACGCAGAAGCGAGCCAUCGCCGGCGGGCUAACGCUGUUGCACGUCAUGGCGGGGACGGCCUUGUGGCAGUCGUGCGUGCGCUACUCGAGUUGGGCACCGAUGUGGAGGCCCCUGGUCAGAAGGGACGCGGCUGGAGCUGCUGCUGGAGGAGACGCGGAAGCGUUGGACCCGACUCCUUUGUGCAGCCAUGCUAGCCUGCUGGAAGAUCCAUGGCCUGCCUGGCCAGCGUGACCAUUGAACAAAUCGUCUCUCAAAACCCUCCCUCCUCCUCGUAAGUGUUGAUUUCAAUUGUUUGCACCAACUUCUGCUUUGUCCGCAAUGUUACAGAUGCUUGUAGAUUUAGCAAAUAUAAUUUCUUAUUAUAUGUUUUCACAUUUGAAUUUGCAUCCUGGUUUUGCUUCGAGGAUUGUAGUUCA